Chiloscyllium plagiosum (whitespotted bambooshark) is the source of this 2069-nucleotide long non-coding RNA. RefSeq lists it as uncharacterized. The record is from RefSeq and is a predicted model, not a curated record. Lineage: Eukaryota; Metazoa; Chordata; Chondrichthyes; Orectolobiformes; Hemiscylliidae.
CCCGAGGACCUUGUUUGUGCUUCAGGCCUGGCAGCAUCUGUCCAGAGACAGACAGAGAGAAAGCGGAGUCAACGUUUCGAGUCUGGGGCAGCCGUCCUUCGGGAGAGUGGCCUUUGGUCUUGAUGUGCCGCCGCACAAUUUCUUGUUCACUCCCACCUCUCUGUCUACAGGAGAGAGCUGGCCAUUGAGUGCUUCCAGUCCCAGCACCAAGGCAGAUACCAGUGCAUCGUGAUCAACAGGGGUUGGAACGAUAUUUAAUGUGACCAGGAAUUCCAUAACCUCACAGAGCCAGGGAGGCGAUGGAAGAUCUAGCUGAGGGCACGAAUGAGGACAGACCUGCAAGAAGUUUCGAAUGCACAGAUCGGGCUAAGCCGAUUAAAUGAUGACUCCGAAAUAGACAGCAGUUUGGUGUACUCAGUUUUCAUCAUCUCCAAACCAAGAAACGCUGGCUGACCAAGCAGAGCAGCAACCACCCUGCAUCACACACACCACUCUGAGGCACACAGAUACAGGAGGGGAUGAGGAACCAAGUCAAGAUGAAGAGAGAAACGUUUAUGUCAACCUUCCACGGACAUCGUGAGACAGCGUAAAAGAAAGCCUGUGAAGCUUCACAAAUCGAUCAAUAGCAAUCCUACCUUGCAGUAAAUGAGGAGGACAAGGAAGAGAAGGCAUCGCAAUGUCACGUUACUGCGACUAGGCUAGGCUUUGUCUCAAUUCAGUCAGCAAGAUGUCAGUUCCAAAGAUGGACUUGUCUUGAGAAACCAUCUGCAUAAUUGUCUCUUCCACAACCCUCAGUGUGUCAGUCUAUUCCCACUGUAGCACAAUCUCACUGUUGGUGGCCGAGAUUUGAGAUUUUAUGCUGAUCAUUCCUAACUUGGAUAUCCAUUUCAUCUCUUGGCGAAUGAGUCCAGGCAGAUGAGCCAAUGAAUUGAAUGUACUCUCCAUGUUUUGUUUAAAUUGUGGUGAGCUGGAAACAAUUCAAGCCAGGAUUGUUUUCCAGCCCUAUCUUCAUUGCCCUCUAAUUUUAUCACUUCCAGUACAUAUCCAGCUCUCAUUUCAUACCUCAUAUGGAAUCGUACAUCCACCACGAUCUCAGGCUGCACAAUCCAAAUCCUAACAACUCUGAGUGAAGAUAUUUCUCCUCAUCUCACUGCUAGCUCUCUUGCAGAUAAUCUUGAAAUUGUGACCUCUAGUUCCUGACAUACCAAGUAAUGGUAACAAAAUAUUUGUCUUUCCCUUGUCAAAAUUCUUCAUAAUUUUGAACACCUCCACAAUGUUUCCCUCUUAAUCUUCUCUGCUCCCAUGAGAAGGAGCCUGAUAUCACUAAUCCUUCCUUGUAUGUAAAAUCCUCCAUUCCUGCUACCAUUCUAGUAAAUCUUCAAUGAACCCUCUCCAAAGCUUAAAGCUUCUUAAAUAAACUGCCCAGAACUGAACACAAAUGUAGUCUGAACAAUGAUUUGUGGAGGAGGAGCAUCGUCUCCUCAGCUUUAUACUCAAUGCCUCUAUUUAUAACGGCAAGGAUCCUAUCAGCCUUCUUCACAAAAGGUUUCAGCUUGCCUGGCCACCUUCAGAGAAUGAUAAACGUGAACCCAGAGGUCCCUCUGCUCCAGUGAUCCCUUCAAAGAUGUACCAUUGACCCUGCAUUGUUGCCGUGUGUUUCUGUUAGCAAAAUGCAUUACCUCAUAUUUCUCUGCAUUGGAAUUCAUCUGCCAGAUUUCAGCCCAUUUGGUAAACUUGUCAAUCUUCCUGUGAAGUCACUCAACAGCAUCUUCACAAUUCACUCUUCUCCCAGGGUUAGUAUCAACUGCAAUUUAGAGAUUAUAUUCUCAACACCCAACUCCUAAUCAUUUAUAUAACCAAUGUAUUUAUCAAUGUGUACUUGUCAGUUUCUUCCAUGUGCGCGUAACUAUCAAUUCUACCUGUCCGUUUCACUUAUGUGAAUGUGUGAGUGUAUUUACCAGUCUGUUCCUGGUCUGCGAAUUGGGACUGUCAAUAUUAAGACCAUAAGGCCAUAAGCGGAAGUAAGGCCAUUCGGCCCAUCGAGUCCACUCCGCCAUUCAAUCAUGGCU